GAUGAACGCUGGCGGCGUGCUUAACACAUGCAAGUCGAACGGUGACGCCGUAGCUUCCUCUUCUUGAUCAGUGCCGAACGGGUGAGUAACACGUGAGCAACCUGCUCCUGACUCUGGGAUAAGCGCUGGAAACGGCGCCUAAUACAGUAUACCAGCCGCCCUACCAUCUUCAGCAGCUGAAAUUCACUGCGGGCAGGGAUGAGCUCGCGGCUUACCAGCUUGUUGGUGAGGUAGGUGCUCACCAAGGCGUCGACGGGUAGCCGGCCUGUGAGGGGGGCCGGCCACACUGGGACUGAGAGACGGCCCAGACUCCUACGGGAGGCAGCAGUGGGGAAUAUUGCACAAUGGGCGAAAGCCUGAUGCAGCAACGCCGCGUGAGGGACGACGGCCUUCGGGUUGUAAACCUCUUUUAGCAGGGAAGAAGCGAAAGUGACGGUACCUGCAGAAAAAGCGCCGGCUAACUACGUG
This 468-nucleotide ribosomal RNA is filed under the name uncultured bacterium. RNAcentral's name for it is "partial 16S ribosomal RNA". It matches the Rfam family "Bacterial small subunit ribosomal RNA", at positions 28 to 507 of the family's 1533-position model. The record is from RNAcentral.